AUAAGACAUGCAAGUCGAACGAACUUAAUCGAAAGUUACUUUGAAGCGGUAGUGGCGGACUGGUGAGUAACACGUAAGCAACCUGCCUAUCGAGAGGGGGAAGUAACAGUGAGAAAUCAUUGCUAAUACCGCAUAUGCUCACAGUAUCACAUGAUACAGUGAGGAAAGGAGCAAUCCGCUGAUGGAUGGGCUUGCGUCUGAUUAGAUAGUUGGUGGGGUAACGGCCUACCAAGUCGACGAUCAGUAGCCGGACUGAGAGGUUGAACGGCCACAUUGGGACUGAGAUACGGCCCAGACUCCUACGGGAGGCAGCAGUCGGGAAUAUUGGCGCAAUGGAGGAAACUCUGACGCAAGUGACGCCGCGUGCAGGAAGAAGGUUUUCGGAUUGUAAACUGCUUUAGUUAAGGAAGAUACAAGACAGUACUUAAAGAAUAAGCACCGGCUAACUAUGUGCCAGCAGCUGC
RNAcentral lists this ribosomal RNA (464 nucleotides) under uncultured bacterium. Its description in RNAcentral is "bacterial SSU rRNA". It matches the Rfam family "Bacterial small subunit ribosomal RNA", at positions 48 to 518 of the family's 1533-position model. The record is from RNAcentral.